RNAcentral lists this ribosomal RNA (563 nucleotides) under uncultured Gammaproteobacteria bacterium. RNAcentral describes it as "bacterial SSU rRNA". It matches the Rfam family "Bacterial small subunit ribosomal RNA", at positions 57 to 617 of the family's 1533-position model. The record is from RNAcentral. Lineage: Bacteria; Pseudomonadati; Pseudomonadota; Gammaproteobacteria.
GCAGUCGAGCGAGAAAGGCCCUUCGGGGCUGAGUAGAGCGGCGGACGGGUGAGUAACGCGUGGGAAUCUACCCAGUGGUGGGGGACAACUUGGGGAAACUCAAGCUAAUACCGCAUACGCCCUACGGGGGAAAGCGGGGGACCUUCGGGCCUCGCGCCAUUGGAUGAGCCUGCGUCGGAUUAGCUAGUUGGUGGGGUAAAGGCCCACCAAGGCGACGAUCCGUAGCUGGUCUGAGAGGAUGAUCAGCCACACUGGGACUGAGACACGGCCCAGACUCCUACGGGAGGCAGCAGUGGGGAAUAUUGCGCAAUGGAGGAAACUCUGACGCAGCCAUGCCGCGUGUGUGAAGAAGGCCUUCGGGUUGUAAAGCACUUUCACUUGGGAAGAAAAGCUUAUCGUUAAUAGCGGUGAGCCGUGACAUUACCUUGAGAAGAAGCACCGGCUAACUCCGUGCCAGCAGCCGCGGUAAUACGGAGGGUGCGAGCGUUAAUCGGAAUUACUGGGCGUAAAGCGCGCGUAGGCGGUUGAUUAAGUCAGCUGUGAAAGCCCCGGGCUCAACCUGG